Molecule: long non-coding RNA, 1204 nt
Filed under: Homo sapiens (human)
Lineage: Eukaryota; Metazoa; Chordata; Mammalia; Primates; Hominidae
Description: HSALNT0308105
Source: RNAcentral
UUAAUAGAAAUGAAAUUUCAAAACUACAAGGCUGGGCUUUUUGAGAAUACUAAUGCAGAGUGGCAUUCGUUUGCAUUAUGACUAUAACAGUAGUAAUUGCAGAGAAAGUGCUAAUUUUUUCAUCAUUGUUUUAAACUUGCUUAUAUAAUAUUGUAUUUUAUAUUACAAAGUGAAACUAUUUCCAAGGUGAUUAACUGAACUACCUGAUCUCUUUGUUCUUUGAAUUCUAUUAGAUAACACUGUUUUUUGUUAUAAUCUGCCUCACUCUGAAACCUUCUACCCUUUAUACUGCUACAACCAGGUGGCAGCCUGUACAGUGAUCUUCCUUUCCCUGAAAAUCCACAGGGGCAACGAGCCCAACUAGCAACAUUCAAUAUCUGGGCUUCACCUUGACCCAGAAAAUGCAAAUCAAACUAUGCUGAAAGCUUCAUACAAAGGAACUGAAAGAUUGAUUCCUACAAGGUACAGCAUGGAAUGUUAUAAUUUCAUACCAGGAGUUGAACAGUUCUCCCUUCCAGCCAAGGGCAGAAAUGAGGAACCUGCCAGAUCGGAGAGUUCCCAAAUCUAAUCACCAUUUAUGCUAGAAUUCCUUCAGCUGCAAAUAAUGCAGGGUCUCAUCUUAGCAGUGACAAGAUAUCUGCCAGCAGCACCAGGCCUACAUCUUCCCAGCUUUAAAUUCAGUGAAAAGACAGGAUCUCUUUCUAAAGCACUGCAAUAAAAUUUCCAGAAUGAAAACUCAUCAGCUUAAUUGGCCUCUGUUGGUUAUCUGCCCAUUUGUGAACCAAUCACUGUGGUCUGAGAGGUGCAAGGACUCCUCUGAUUGGCCUGGCCUGGGCCAUUUGCCCACUUCCGGCAUCAGAAGGAAGGACAGUUUCAAAAGGCAAACUGGGUGUUGCUACAGGAGAGCAUUCAGGCAAACCACAGCCAAUCUCAGGACUCUCCUUGUUCUGCCUUGUCUUCAAAUCCUCUUGCACAUUUUUCCAGCCUCGGACCCGCUGUGCCUCACCAUGUUCAUCUAGCAUAGGACCCUCAAUACAUUUCUCUGACACAGGGAAAACCCAUUUGGUGUAGUGAAUGACCCUAGAGUCAAACAGCCUGGGUUCUAAUUCUGGCUCUAUCAUUUUAGCAAGCUGUAUAAUCUCUCCGUGCCUCAGUUUCCUCAUCAAAAAAAAAAAGGCAGGUGGGCUGGGAGCAGUGGCUCAUG